Molecule: ribosomal RNA, 253 nt
Filed under: uncultured bacterium
Lineage: Bacteria
Description: partial 16S ribosomal RNA
Rfam family: Bacterial small subunit ribosomal RNA
Source: RNAcentral
GACAGAGGUGGCGAGCGUUGUUCGGAAUUACUGGGCUUAAAGGGCGCGUAGGCGGUAAUACAAGUCUGGGGUGGAAUUCUACGGCUUAACUGUAGGACUGCCCUGGAAACUGUAUAACUUGAGUCGGACAGGGGAAGGCGGAAUUCCAGGUGUAGCGGUGAAAUGCGUAGAUAUCUGGAGGAAGGUCUGUGGCGAAGGCGGCCUUCUGGGUUUUGACUGACGCUGAGGCGCGAAAGCGUGGGGAGCAAACAGG